CCACUCAAUGAUUUUGAGAUGGUUUCAUUUUUACUUGUUGGUUUGGGCAGUGAGUUUGAUUCGUUUGUAACCUCUGUUACCACCCGUGUGGACCCCAUGUCCAUUGAAGACUUAUAUGCGCACCUGUUGACUCAUGAAA
Corylus avellana is the source of this 139-nucleotide small nucleolar RNA. RefSeq annotates it as small nucleolar RNA Z247. The record is from RefSeq and is a predicted model, not a curated record. NCBI's taxonomy places the organism in Eukaryota, Viridiplantae, Streptophyta, Magnoliopsida, Fagales, Betulaceae.